ACUCUCACCAAACACUCAGAUCUCCAUUACUCUCCCACACCAACCACUAAACUCCAAUCCUGGGAGAGAUGCAACAAACUCAGAUCCAGGCGAGGAACCAGCCGGCGAUAGAUCUGUCGCAGCAGUCUCCACCGUCGAGUCUCUCCGUUUCGAGGAUUGUCGUCUUCUACUGGCCAGCGUCGCCGCCGACCCGCCAUCCUCUUCUCCGAGCUCUGUUGUUUCGCCGUCCUCUUCUCCAACCCUCCCCUUCGUGAUCAUUCAUUUGACACCAUCACUCCCAAUUUUGAGAAAGGCUUGCUGCUCCUCGUUAACAUCAUCUCCCUCUGCACUGCCACAGUCUCUCUUUAUGCUUCUUCUCCCCUUCUUCUGCUGCUGCCUCCUCCUCCAGCCUUCCUCCUCUGCUUUGCUCCACCGCCUCCUCCUCUCUCCCAGUUUGCUCUAACUCUCUGUCUCUGCAGGUUUUUCUAAUCUCAGUUGAUGAUCUCUUUUAACUUGCUUUCCUUUCUCAUGCCAAUUUCUUCUAUUGAUCUUCUCCAAUGAAAACAAGAAUACCACGCUCUCAUCCCAGUCUUUAUGCGUAUUAUCAAGUUCUAAAUACUAAAGUUAGUUAUGUAGGAUUUUGUGAUUUCUUUGCCUAGUGAUGUGCUGCUGGAGAUUGAAUUGCUGCUAUUAAAUUUUUGAAACUUGACAAGUUUGAGGUCUUUGUGGAUUCACUGGAUUGUAAUUUCAAAAGACAGCUUGAACAAGAGAUGGAAACUGUGAUUAAAGUAUUGCAGCCUGGACCCUUGGGAAUCAUAGAGCAUAAGUUUUCUGCUGAGGAGAUUUGUAAGGCUAAUGAUACUGUCUCUAAGGCUGUGGCCAAUUGGCGAACUAAUGCGAAUUUGCAUCCCAAAAAUCAACUUUUAAAAGACUAUAUUCAGAAGUGAAACAACUUCAAAGUGCAGGCAUAUUUUGGCUUACAUGUGAGGACAGUUUUAUUUUAGAUCCUCUAAACGUUUUUUGAGUUUUGCAAAUUCCUUUCUGUACUUAUUUAUGAUGUUGUAUUAAACAUGUGAACUUUGGUACACAUAGCAUUAGUUAUUGAAUUAUGUUCACUAUUUCACUAUAAUGAAGAUCUUUAGUGAAUGAGAGUGAGGUUAGUCGUUCUUCUUUUGU
This is a long non-coding RNA of Arachis stenosperma, 1155 nucleotides long. RefSeq lists it as uncharacterized. The record is from RefSeq and is a predicted model, not a curated record. Lineage: Eukaryota; Viridiplantae; Streptophyta; Magnoliopsida; Fabales; Fabaceae. The transcript is spliced from 4 exons.